CACGUGACCUCUCUUUCUCCUCGAGCGCAGCUGCGCAGGUCGACGACCCGGGCUCCGCCGCCGCCGCCUCGCCUCGCCGCCGGCGCGCUCGCUCGCUCGGCUGGUCCGCGUAGUGGGCUGCCUUCCAUAGUCGGCUCUGGAGGAGUUUUGAGGGAGGGAGGCGCAGGCAUGGGCGAGGAAGAAGAAGACCCCGACUGGCUCCGCGCGUUCCAGCCACCAACUACAUCGACGGUGAUGCUUUCUUCGGGCUCCGAUGAUUCUCCUGAAAACAGUCCUACAAGGACUACACCAUCUGGAGAAGAACAAAAGGGGGAAAACAAGGCUAGUUCAGACCAUGCAGGGGAUGGAGAUGCUGCUGCACUAAAUAAGGGCAAAAAGGCAACACCUACUAGGAGGAAAACCCCUACUAGUCAAGAAGAUGCUUUCGACAAAGAUGAGAAACCAACCAUGGAAUCAAAUCAAGAUAAGCCUCCAAAACGCUCGAGCCCGAGGGAGUUGCAGAUCCAAGCGAAGGCCAAGACCCGCAAGACUUUGAGCAAGACUCCAAAGAAGAAGUUGGUUAAACCCCCAUCUGGUUCUAAUGCUUCAAAGGUUACUGGACCAAAAGCUGGUCCAGAUCAAAUAGAUGAUACCUUGGAACAUCAAGAAGAGGGAGUUGCUGAAGAAGACAUGCAGGAUAAACUUACAGAGCACUCUGUCUCCCAGAGGUUGCCAUUAAUCAUUCCUGAUAAAAUUCAGCGUUCAAAGGCAUUGAUUGAAUGCGAUGGUGACUCGAUAGACUUAAGUGGAGACGUUGGAGCUGUUGGGAGGAUAAUAAUUUCAAACAGUCCUAACGGAAAUCAGGAAUUGUUAUUGGACCUAAAAGGAACAAUAUACAAAUCAACAAUUGUUCCAUCCAGGACAUUUUGCGUUGUCAGUGUAGGACAAACAGAAGCGAAGAUAGAGUCUAUCAUGGAUGACUUUAUUCAAUUGGAACCCCAAUCCAAUUUAUUUGAAGCAGAGACUAUGAUGGAAGGUACCCUUGAUGGAUUCACAUUUGAUUCUGACGAGGAGGGUGACAAGCUUCCUGAACCGCAUGCUUCUCAAAACGAUCAAAAUAAUGAAGAUGGGGAUCAACCUAAGGCAAAAACCAAAAGAAAAGCUGAGAAACCGGCACACUGUUGCAGGAACUAAGUUAAUAAGGAACGUACCCAAAAUCACAUCUGGAGCACCUUGAGCUUCUGCAGCAGCAACAUGAUUGACACGGGCCUUUGAUGCUGGUGCGGUAGAGUUGCUCUGGGCAGGGACAAUCUUCACGCGUCGGGGCUUCGGACACUUGUCAGCGUAAUGUCCUGGGUCUCCAUAGUUGAAGCACACCCCGGGCUUGAUGCCUUGCUCCUUCUUGGCAGGUUGUUGCUGUGUCGAAGCUGCAACAGGGCGUGGAGCUUGAUUGCGGAUGUUGUUGCCCGCGUUGUUGUUGAAGAACUGACGCUGCGGACGAACAACAGACGAAGAACCUCCCUGUGGCAUGGACUGGGGUCCUAAAGUCAAGAACAAAAUUUACAUCAAUGCGCGGUUGCAAUCUGAGUAGUUAUCUUUUACUCCGUACAGUGAUGACGCAAAACUUACAGGAGAUUAGCUACUACAACUAAUUACCCUUCGCAUGUCCAUGGAAAUAAGGUAGCAUAUAUAUAUACAUUAAUUCUGAACCAAGUCUCCGUAUUUCAGGCUCCUUGCAGCAUAUGGCUUUACUCUCAGCUUGCUAUUCUUGCCCAACUGCUUGUGGAGUUGUGGGGUGAAACAGGUAUCACCACCUGCAGAAGAAGUUCUAGUUCUGAAAGACAACAUACCUUCCAUGAUACAUUGAUGCCUUGUUGCCUCCAGAUAGGCUCAGAAGUCUAUCAUACCAAAGAUGCUCUCUACUGAAGGAUUCACUAAACAACCUUUCAUAUUUUCAUCUUUAUUUCCUAAACCUAAACUCAACCUUUUAGUAAUGGACACAAUUUCUCGGUCCAGGAAUACAGAGAAUGCGACCAAUAAGA
This is a non-coding RNA of Oryza sativa Japonica Group (Japanese rice), 2021 nucleotides long. NCBI's taxonomy places the organism in Eukaryota, Viridiplantae, Streptophyta, Magnoliopsida, Poales, Poaceae. The record is from RefSeq and is a predicted model, not a curated record.